RNAcentral lists this non-coding RNA (750 nucleotides) under Anatis ocellata. The record is from RNAcentral. Lineage: Eukaryota; Metazoa; Arthropoda; Insecta; Coleoptera; Coccinellidae.
UAAGUAUUUGAUCAUGGUACUUAAUAUAUAUAUAUAUAUAUAAAUUUAUACGAAUGUUGUUUUAGAUUUCUAUUUUAGUAGUAUAUAAUUUUAAUUAUUAAUUAAUUUUAGAAUUAGUAAUAUAUUUUAACAUUUGCAAAUUUUGUGCCAGCAGCAGCGGUUAUACAAAAGAUGUAGUAUAUAUUUGUUAGUUUUAAUUAAUAGAAAAAUUUUUAAAUUAUAAUUUGAAUUUAUUAGGUGAAAUUUUAAUUUAAAAUUAAUUUAUUUAUUUAUUUAUGAGGUUAAGAAAUUUUUAUUUAAACUAGGAUUAGAUACCCUAUUAUUUUAAACGUAAAUUAUAAAACUAAGUGAUUAAUAGUUAAGUUCUUUAAAGCUAAAUGAUUUGGCGGUAUUUUAAACUUUUCAGAGGAACCUGUUCUAUAAUCGAUAAUCCACGAUUGAAUUAACUUAAAUUAGAAAUUUUUAUAUCGUCGUUAUUAAAUAUUUUAUAAGAAUAUAAUAUUUAAAAUUUUUAAUUUGAAAAUAAAUCAGAUCAAGGUGAAGUUUAUAUUUAAGAAGAGAUGGGUUACAGUAAAUUAUAUUUAUGGAUUACUAAUUUGAAAAAUUUAAUGAAAUUGGAUUUGAAAGUAAUUAGUUACACUUUUUUCUAAUGAUUAAGCACUAAAAUAUGUACAUAUUGCCCGUCGCUUUCAUCUAAAUUGAAAUAAGUCGUAACAUAGUAGUUUUACUGGAAAGUGAAUCUAGAAAGAA